AGUGAACGCUGGCGGUAGGCCUAACACAUGCAAGUCGAACGGCAGCACAGUAAGAGCUUGCUCUUACGGGUGGCGAGUGGCGGACGGGUGCGGAAUACAUCGGAAUCUACUUUUUCGUGGGGGAUAACGUAGGGAAACUUACGCUAAUACCGCAUACGACCUACGGGUGAAAGCAUGGGAUCUUCGGACCUUGCGCGAUUGAAUGAGCCGAUGUCGGAUUAGCUAGUUGGCGGGGUAAAGGCCCACCAAGGCGACGAUCCGUAGCUGGUCUGAGAGGAUGAUCAGACACACUGGAACUGAGACACGGUCCAGACUCCUACGGGAGGCAGCAGUGGGGAAUAUUGGACAAUGGGCGAAAGCCUGAUCCAGCCAUACCGCGUGGGUGAAGAAGGUCUUCGGAUUGUAAAGCACUUUUGGUGGGAAAGAAAAGCAGUAGGUUAAUACCUCGCUGUUUUGACGGUACCAAAAGAAUAAGCACCGGCUAACUUCGUG
This 492-nucleotide ribosomal RNA is filed under the name uncultured bacterium. Its description in RNAcentral is "partial 16S ribosomal RNA". It matches the Rfam family "Bacterial small subunit ribosomal RNA", at positions 29 to 507 of the family's 1533-position model. The record is from RNAcentral.